AGAGUUUGAUCAUGGCUCAGAACGAACGCUGGCGGCGUGCUUAACACAUGCAAGUCGAGUGCGCGCCUGUAGCAAUACAGGUGGCGCACGGCGCACGGGUGCGUAACACGUGGGUAAUCUGCCCUCUGAUGGGGAAUAACCCGCCGAAAGGCGGGCUAAUACCGCAUAACAUUCCUUGGAUUUCGGUCCGGGGACUCAAAGGCGUAAGUCGUCGGAGGAGGAGCCCGCGCACGAUUAGCUAGUUGGUAGGGUAAUGGCCUACCAAGGCUUUGAUCGUUAGCUGGUCUGAGAGGAUGGCCAGCCACACUGGAACUGAGACACGGUCCAGACUCCUACGGGAGGCAGCAGUGGGGAAUCUUGCACAAUGGGCGAAAGCCUGAUGCAGCGACGCCGCGUGGGGGAUGAAGCAUUUCGGUGUGUAAACCCCUUUCGAUCCGGACGAAUACCUCGCAAGAGGGGUGACGGUACGGAUAUAAGAAGCCCCGGCUAACUACGUGCCAGCAGCCGCGGUAAGACGUAGGGGGCCAGCGUUGUUCGGAAUUACUGGGUGUAAAGGGUUCGUAGGCGGUGUGGCAAGUUGGGAGUGAAAUCUCUGGGCUCAACCCAGAGGCUGCUUCCAAAACUGCUGUGCUUGAGUGUGAGAGAGGCGCGUGGAAUUGCAGGUGUAGCGGUGAAAUGCGUAGAUAUCUGCAGGAACACCCGUGGCGAAAGCGGCGCGCUGGAUCACUACUGACGCUGAGGAACGAAAGCUAGGGGAGCAAACAGGAUUAGAUACCCCCGUAGUCC
Molecule: ribosomal RNA, 786 nt
Filed under: uncultured bacterium
Lineage: Bacteria
Description: bacterial SSU rRNA
Rfam family: Bacterial small subunit ribosomal RNA
Source: RNAcentral